UGUCAUUUGCACAUCUGCAUAAUUUACAAACCCAAAGAGCUCCCAGAAAUCCCCUUUGGUUUACAAUAAAGCUCUAAUUAGUUAUUUAAAAAAAAAAAAAAAAGAAAGAAAGAAAAAAGGAACUGCACUGAGGCAAAUACAAAACACUUGGACGAGAGCAACAUUUGUGUGGGGAUCCACCAGGGAGGCAGGCCAGACCCAGCUGAGGAACUGGCAACAACCCAGCUACAAAAUGCUGCUAAGAAGAGAUAAAGGAGUCAGCCUUACCAGCAGAUCUCUCCCUGCUUCCUCCUACAGAAGUUUGCCUCCUGCCAAGAGGACCUUCAACAAGUCUUCGCUGCCUUUGGAUCUUCCAGAUGGAGAGAAAAGAGCAUAGGACAUAAUCUAACACUACAUGGCUUAGG
Molecule: long non-coding RNA, 404 nt
Organism: Aquila chrysaetos chrysaetos
Lineage: Eukaryota; Metazoa; Chordata; Aves; Accipitriformes; Accipitridae
Exons: 3
Source: RefSeq, a predicted model, not a curated record